RNAcentral lists this long non-coding RNA (266 nucleotides) under Fukomys damarensis (Damara mole-rat). RNAcentral describes it as "lncRNA (ENSFDAG00000024477.1)". Lineage: Eukaryota; Metazoa; Chordata; Mammalia; Rodentia; Bathyergidae. The record is from RNAcentral.
GAUGAACAGUGGUUAGAGUGAUCUACAGUUUUUUGUGGUUUUUUUUUGUUUGUUUGUUUUGUUUUGUAUAUGUGUGUAUGUGGAAUUCAGUUUGAUAUUUCCUCUGGCACAGCAGCAAGAGUUAACAGCUGUCCCCUGAACAUCAAGUCUUGCCCAGAAGGACACAGGCCCCGCUCCUCCUGUACGUGCAGACCUUCUUCCAGGCUCCCCUGUCCAUGUGUUUCUGCCACGGCUCACAAAAGCAGGCGUUCUGAGCACCAACGGGG